Molecule: ribosomal RNA, 253 nt
Filed under: uncultured bacterium
Lineage: Bacteria
Description: partial 16S ribosomal RNA
Rfam family: Bacterial small subunit ribosomal RNA
Source: RNAcentral
UACGAAGGGGGCUAGCGUUGUUCGGAAUUACUGGGCGUAAAGCGCACGUAGGCGGAUUGUUAAGUUAGGGGUGAAAUCCCGGGGCUCAACCCCGGAACUGCCUUUAAUACUGGCAAUCUCGAGUCCGAGAGAGGUGAGUGGAAUUCCGAGUGUAGAGGUGAAAUGCGCAGAUAUCAGGAAGAACACCCGUGGCUAAGGCGGCUCUCUAGUACGGUACUGACGCUGAGACGCGAAAGCGUGGGGAGCGAACAGG